RNAcentral lists this long non-coding RNA (946 nucleotides) under Mustela putorius furo (domestic ferret). RNAcentral's name for it is "lncRNA (ENSMPUG00000031018.1)". The record is from RNAcentral. Lineage: Eukaryota; Metazoa; Chordata; Mammalia; Carnivora; Mustelidae.
ACCGGACGGAGGGUUGUUAUUAUCGCUGCUGGACGGUGAUAAAUGGUGGCCCGUACAGGGAACCCCCUUUCUCCGUUUCUAACAGUGCACUGAGGUCCCUUGCAGAAUCUUUAGAAGCCCAGCCCAGGCAAGAGAGCUCUCCUUGAGGUGACCGCCUGGAGCGUCUAUACUGCAGGAAGGGCUGCUUUAGAAAAUGAGAAGGAUAGCAAUCAGGAUCUGGAGUCAGCAAACUGGAAUGGACGGGGCAAAUCAGGCCCCCUGCUCCCCGAUACACACACUUCCAUCAGGACACGUUGCUCUUACUCCUCGUGCGUGCGAUGUCUAUGACACUUUCCGUGCUCCAAGGGCAGAAUCAGGAAUAACUUCUUUGAAGACCGGGGUGUGAGCUGGCUUGUUCACCACAAUAUGCCCCAGUGCCCAGAACUUUAAAGGGGCUCAAGAACAUUUGUUUAGUAAAGAAUACCAUGUGGCUAACCUAACAAGAUGCAAACGGAGAUAUUAAGAUUGAAGACAGAUGCUGCUCCUACUGUCGGCGGGGAUGGAGGGCAGUUGAAGAACCAAUGUGAAGGGAACUUCUAGAGACUGGGAGGAAGUCUAACACCUUUCCUCUGUUGAGUGACUGUUACCCAUGAGACCCUAGGGCUACACACGUGAACAGACCACCAUGGUCCCUGUCCUCAUAGUGCUGGUGUUGUAGCACGUUGUUUAAACCCUCCAUCCCCAUUUUAGGAUAGGGCAUGGGGAAGCCUUUUUUUUUUCUCUAUUUUUUUUUCUUUAUGUAAAGGGCCAGAUAGUAAGUAUUUUAUGCUCUGCAGGUUUGCGAUUUGUGUCACAAAUACUCAACUCUGCUGGUGUAGUGCAAAAGCCAUCACAAAUGGCACAACAUCAUGGCUAUGUUCAAAUAAAACCUUAUUUCCUUAUUUACAAAAGCAAGCAAUGGGUCUGG